RNAcentral lists this ribosomal RNA (253 nucleotides) under uncultured bacterium. RNAcentral describes it as "partial 16S ribosomal RNA". It matches the Rfam family "Bacterial small subunit ribosomal RNA", at positions 524 to 776 of the family's 1533-position model. The record is from RNAcentral.
UACGUAGGUGGCGAGCGUUGUCCGGAAUUACUGGGUGUAAAGCGCGUGUAGGCGGGAGGCCAAGUCUGUGGUGAAAUCGCUCGGCUUAACUGGGCGGGGUCCAUGGAAACUGGUCACCUGGAGGUCGGUAGAGGCAAGUGGAAUUCCCGGUGUAGUGGUGAAAUGCGUAGAGAUCGGGAGGGACACCAGUGGCGAAGGCGGCUUGCUGGGCCGGACCUGACGCUGAGACGCGAAGGCGUGGGGAGCGAACGGG